CCCUAUGAAUUUUUUCAAAGACCUUUCUUGUUUGGAUCUUUGAAAAAAUUCAAGAAAGGUUUUUGAUUAAUUGGGGUGAUUUUUAAAUUUUAAAAAACUUUAGAAGUGUAUUACUAGAUCCAAUAUUAUUGAUGAUUUAAAAAAAAUACUCUAGGGAUAACAGCGUUAUUACUUUGGAUAGUUCAUAUAGAUAAAGUAGAUUGCGACCUCGAUGUUGGAUUAGGAUACCUUUAUUAAUGAAGAAGUUAUAAAAGGAGGUUUGCUCAACCUUCAAAUUCCUACAUGAUCUGAGUUCAGACC
Molecule: ribosomal RNA, 300 nt
Filed under: Ornithodoros sp. ALB-2015
Lineage: Eukaryota; Metazoa; Arthropoda; Arachnida; Ixodida; Argasidae
Description: partial 16S ribosomal RNA
Rfam family: Bacterial large subunit ribosomal RNA
Source: RNAcentral